CCCUUAGAUGUCCUGGGCCGCACGCGUGCUACACUGAUGCAUUCAACGAGUCUAAAACCUGGUCUGAUAGGGCUAGGUAAUCUUUUGAAUGUGCAUCGUGAUUGGGAUAGAUGAUUGCAAUUCUUCAUCUUCAACGAGGAAUGCCUAGUAAACGCAAGUCAUCAGCUUGCAUUGAUUACGUCCCUGCCCUUUGUACACACCGCCCGUCGCACCUACCGAUUGAAUGGUCCGGUGAAAUCUUCGGACCGUGACUUUGAUUUGUUUACUCAAAACGCUGUUACGGGAAGUUGAUUAAACCUUACCAUUUAGAGGAAGGUGAAGUCGUAACA
RNAcentral lists this ribosomal RNA (329 nucleotides) under uncultured eukaryote. Its description in RNAcentral is "partial 18S ribosomal RNA". It matches the Rfam family "Eukaryotic small subunit ribosomal RNA", at positions 1470 to 1796 of the family's 1831-position model. The record is from RNAcentral.